UACGAAGGGGGCAAGCGUUGUUCGGAAUUACUGGGAGUAAAGCGCACGUAGGCGGCCUUGUAAGACGGGGGUGAAAUCCCCGGGCUCAACCCGGGAACUGCCUUCGUGACUGCAGAGCUUGAGGCCGGGAGAGGUUAGCGGAAUUCGGAGUGUAGAGGUGAAAUUCGUAGAUAUUCGGAAGAACACCAGUGGCGAAGGCGGCUCACUGGCGCGGCACUGACGCUGAGGUGCGAAAGCGUGGGGAGCAAACAGG
RNAcentral lists this ribosomal RNA (253 nucleotides) under uncultured bacterium. RNAcentral describes it as "partial 16S ribosomal RNA". It matches the Rfam family "Bacterial small subunit ribosomal RNA", at positions 524 to 776 of the family's 1533-position model. The record is from RNAcentral.